This 433-nucleotide ribosomal RNA is filed under the name uncultured bacterium. Its description in RNAcentral is "partial 16S ribosomal RNA". It matches the Rfam family "Bacterial small subunit ribosomal RNA", at positions 29 to 507 of the family's 1533-position model. The record is from RNAcentral.
AACGAACGCUGGCGGCAUGCCUAACACAUGCAAGUCGAACGAGACCUUCGGGUCUAGGGGCGCACGGGUGCGUAACACGUGGGGAUCUUCCCUUUGCUUCGGCAUAACAGUUAGAAAUGACUGCUAAUACCGGAUGAUGUCUAAAGACCAAAGAUUUAUCGGCAAAGGAUGAGCCCGCGUAGGAUUAGGUGGUUGGUAUGGUAAAGGCUUACUAAGCCGUGGAUCCUUAGCUGGUCUGAGAGAAUGGUCAGCGACUCUGAGACUAAGACACGGCCGAGACUCCUACGCGAUGGGGCAGUGCCUGAUAUUGCACAGUGGGGGAAAGGAUGAUGCUGCACUGACGGGUGAGUUAUGAAAGUCGUGGAGAUGUAAUGCUCAAUUACCAGGGAUGAUAAUGACAGUACCUGAAGAAUAAGCUCCGGCUAACUCCGUG